CCUACGGGAGGCUGCAGUGGGGGAUAUUGGACAAUGGGGGGAACCCUGAUCCAGCGACGCCGCGUGAGUGAAGAAGUAUUUCGGUAUGUACAGCUCUGUCAGCAGGGAAGAAAGAAAUGACGGUACCUGACCAAGAAGCCCCGGCUAACUACGUGCCAGCAGCCGCGGUAAUACGUAGGGGGCAGGCGUUAUCCGGAAUUACUGGGUGUAAAGGGAGCGUAGACGGUUCAGGAAGUCUGUGGUGAACGGCCGGGAGCCAACCCCGGGACUGCUCGGGAAACGAUUGAACGUGAGUGCAGGAGAGGUAAGCGGAAUUCCUAGUGUAGCGGUGAAAUGCGUAGAUAUUAGGAGGAACACCAGUGGCGAAGGCGGCUUACUGGACUGUAACUGACGUUGAGGCUCGAAAGCGUGGGGAGCAAACAGGAUUAGAUACCCGGGUAGUC
This 443-nucleotide ribosomal RNA is filed under the name uncultured bacterium. Its description in RNAcentral is "partial 16S ribosomal RNA". It matches the Rfam family "Bacterial small subunit ribosomal RNA", at positions 338 to 795 of the family's 1533-position model. The record is from RNAcentral.